CUGGCGGCGUGCUUAACACAUGCAAGUCGAACGGACCGAGUUGAUAGCUUGCUAUUGAUGAGGUUAGUGGCAAACGGGUGAGUAACGCGUAGGCAACCUGCCCUUCAGAUGGGGACAACACCUCGAAAGGGGUGCUAAUACCGAAUGACGUUUCCUGGUCGCAUGACCUGGAAACCAAAGGCCGGGCAACCGGUCACUGAAGGAUGGGCCUGCGUCUGAUUAGCUAGUUGGUGGGGUAAUGGCCCACCAAGGCGACGAUCAGUAGCCGGUCUGAGAGGAUGAACGGCCACAUUGGGACUGAGACACGGCCCAAACUCCUACGGGAGGCAGCAGUGGGGAAUCUUCCGCAAUGGGCGCAAGCCUGACGGAGCAACGCCGCGUGAGUGAAGAAGGUUUUCGGAUCGUAAAGCUCUGUUGAGAGGGACGAGAGAUAUAAUCAGGAAAUGGGUUAUAGAGGACGGUACCUUUCGAGGAAGCCACGGCUAACUACGUG
This 493-nucleotide ribosomal RNA is filed under the name uncultured bacterium. Its description in RNAcentral is "bacterial SSU rRNA". It matches the Rfam family "Bacterial small subunit ribosomal RNA", at positions 36 to 507 of the family's 1533-position model. The record is from RNAcentral.